UUCACUGUUUUCUCCUGCCAUAAGUGAGGAUUUUUAAUAAAAAUACUUAUUUAAAAAAAGUUAUGUUUAAGAUUGAAGAAGAUACAAGGGGACACCAUUUUUUACUUUAGAGAGAAUACAUGUGGCAGACAAAUCGGGCCAUGAGAGGUGAGGGUGAAUACUUUUCAAGUAAACGCAUUGUGGAAGUUUAGAAUACUGAAAAUGACUUUGCGUGAUAUGGAUGAUUGAAUGGAAAUCAAGGCCCCACAAUUAGAAAUUUCCUCGUGCAUUGGCUUCUAUGCUUGUGCUUUCUAUGUACUGCAUGGUAGCACUUAACCCACCUUUCAUCCCGAGAAAUUAUUUUGAGGUGGCAAUUGCUCUGUGUGUCAGAAAUGAGUUAUGUCACUGAGGGACUCUUUUGUGGGCUUCUCUGUUAAGUGAUGUGGUUUGUGGGGUUGACACAUCUCAGUUCCUUCCUGACUUGCGGCUGGGUUUUGCUUCAAGUCUUUUCAAGCACACAGCUCUUGCUUUAAGUCUCCUCAUGAAGUUAUUAUGGGAAUUCAUGAUCAAUGACCAAUAGCCUCCACCUUUUACAAAACAGUAAUGGAUCCUUGGGCAGCAGUUCUCAGGGGAAUUAAGUCACAAAAGGACUCUCUUUUCCUACUGUAUGUACAAAGGGAGGUGAAGGUGAAGGUGAUGUCGACCCAAGAGCCCAAAAGCAAUAAAGUAUGAGAUGAGGAAAAGUUAAGUGGGAUGAAGAAAUACUCACAAGGUGCUUUUUAUAUUUGUACUGUACUGAGUCAUGCAAGAUUGAAUGAGUCUGGUAGGACAACCCCAUUAUACAGGAAGCGUCCCCUCAUUCCUUUGAUUGGCCAAUGCCUAUAGGCCAAUGAUAACAAAACAUAUCUGGGGACCCUUCCAUUUGCAGAGCAAUAGAGCCACUAAACAUUGGACACAAUCGCAGUCCAAGGUCAAUUGGAAUCUCCCUUGUCUGAAUCUUAUGGGCUCUGGUAAUCACGACACAGUUGUUCAAACAGGUAUUCUGCACUUUGUAACCUAUUUCAUAUGCUUAGCAUGCUUGCAAGAUGAAUCAGAAUACAUGCACACAAACUAAAAGCUUGUAUUCAGCACUUGGUAACCCGUAGUCAAGCUGUUUAUUGGUGCUUUUUAUCUGGCAAAAAAGAUUGGUGUAAUCAGCAGACUCAGCGAUCAAAUCCAACAUGUGCUCAAUCUUUGAUUGGCUGCUGGCCGACAUUGUCAUUUAGGACAAGCAUUAUAUUGUUCUGCACGAGCAAUAUUCUUGAGGAUUAUUGCAUCCAACCAUUUUUUAAGUUUCUUGUAUUUUAUUCUUGUAAGUUAAAAACCUGUAGUCAAGGUUUUAAACAUCAAUGCCUAAAUAGUCCUUUGAAGUGGGUGAAUUCAGUCAUAGUUAAGGUAGCCAUACGUCAGGAAGUGAUCGAUGGAAUUUUUCAGUUUGUGAGGGAAAGGCGUUUUGACAAGUAGAAUCAUAGCCCAUGGAAGUCUGGCGGAUAUAUAAUUAUAUAUUCUUCAUAGAUGUAGAGAUACUCUGGCGAGUCACACUCUUGGAAGAUUAAUGAAACAUGGUCAAGCAGUUACUAAUAUUAAUUCCAGAUUCUAUUAAUUAUGGAAUUCGACAACUUAGGAUUUUUUAGAGUCUGGAAUCAACUGUCCUUCCAAAUUUCCUCUAUUUAAUCGGAUAUUAGUACUUUCAAGACAAUCUCAGGCUCUUCAUUUGCAUGUCUGGAGUUUGAUUUUAAUGGCUGGAAAUGCUUCUCUUCUUUUCAGAACAGUAAGCUAAAUUCCAGUAACAUUAGUGUCAUUUCUGGGGUGGUUUAUUAUCUGCAUUUUGACAUUAGUUUCUCACCUGAUUUCAAAUUCGUCUCCGAGUUGUUUUAUCAUCAGAUUUCCCAUAAUUAUGUUGGUUCUGCUGUUUCACUUGAGCUUUGCCCUCUUUGUAACCACUUUCCAAGUGAUAGAAAGAAUACGCUCAGAGGUUUGUUUUA
Long non-coding RNA from Carya illinoinensis, 2003 nucleotides. RefSeq lists it as uncharacterized. The transcript is spliced from 2 exons. Lineage: Eukaryota; Viridiplantae; Streptophyta; Magnoliopsida; Fagales; Juglandaceae. The record is from RefSeq and is a predicted model, not a curated record.